Molecule: ribosomal RNA, 253 nt
Filed under: uncultured bacterium
Lineage: Bacteria
Description: partial 16S ribosomal RNA
Rfam family: Bacterial small subunit ribosomal RNA
Source: RNAcentral
CACGUAGGGCGCAAGCGUUGUCCGGAAUUAUUGGGCGUAAAGAGCUCGUAGGUGGUUUGUCGCGUUGUUCGUGAAAACUCACAACUCAAUUGUGGGCGUGCGGGCGAUACGGGCAGACUGGAGUACUGCAGGGGAGACUGGAAUUCCUGGUGUAGCGGUGGAAUGCGCAGAUAUCAGGAGGAACACCGGUGGCGAAGGCGGGUCUCUGGGCAGUAACUGACGCUGAGGAGCGAAAGCGUGGGGAGCGAACAGG